RNAcentral lists this transfer RNA (68 nucleotides) under Marmota monax (woodchuck). Its description in RNAcentral is "tRNA.Ala". The stretch from base 5 to 65 matches the Rfam family "tRNA", at positions 6 to 65 of the family's 71-position model. Rfam says of the family: Transfer RNA (tRNA) molecules are approximately 80 nucleotides in length. Their secondary structure includes four short double-helical elements and three loops (D, anti-codon, and T loops). The record is from RNAcentral. Lineage: Eukaryota; Metazoa; Chordata; Mammalia; Rodentia; Sciuridae.
GGAUUGUAGCUCAGUGGUAGAGCACUUGCCUAGCAUGUGUGAGACACUGGGUUUGAUCCUCAGCACCA